GAUAAACGCUGGCGGCGUGCAUAACACAUGCAAGUCGAACGAUGAAGAUUAAAAGAUUUCUUCGGAAUGAACUUAAUUGGAUUAGUGGCGGACGGGUGAGUAACGCGUGAGUAACCUGCCUUGUACAAGGGGAUAGCCGUUGGAAACGACGAAUAAUACCCUAUGACAUCAAAUAAUCGCAUGAUAAUUUGGUCAAAGAUUUAUCGGUAUAAGAUGGACUCGCGUCUGAUUAGCUAGUUGGUAGAGUAAAAGCCUACCAAGGCAACGAUCAGUAGCCGGCUGGAGAGAGUGGACGGCCACAUUGGGACUGAGACACGGCCCAGACUCCUACGGGGGGCAGCAGUGGGGAAUUUUGCACAAUGGGGGAAACCCUGAUGCAGCGACGCCGCGUGAUUUAGAAGGCCUUCGGGUUGUAAAAAUCUUUUGUAUGGGAAGAAAAUGACAGUACCAUACGAAUAAGGACCGGCUAAUUACGUG
RNAcentral lists this ribosomal RNA (477 nucleotides) under uncultured bacterium. Its description in RNAcentral is "partial 16S ribosomal RNA". It matches the Rfam family "Bacterial small subunit ribosomal RNA", at positions 28 to 507 of the family's 1533-position model. The record is from RNAcentral.